Molecule: ribosomal RNA, 497 nt
Filed under: uncultured bacterium
Lineage: Bacteria
Description: partial 16S ribosomal RNA
Rfam family: Bacterial small subunit ribosomal RNA
Source: RNAcentral
GACGAACGCUGGCGGCGUGCCUAAUACAUGCAAGUAGAACGCUGAAGCUCGGUGCUUGCACCGAGCGGAUGAGUUGCGAACGGGUGAGUAACGCGUAGGUAACCUGCCUGGUAGCGGGGGAUAACUAUUGGAAACGAUAGCUAAUACCGCAUAACAGUAGAUAUCGCAUGAUAGCUACUUGAAAGGUGCAAAUGCACCACUACCAGAUGGACCUGCGUUGUAUUUGCUAGUUGGUUAGGUAACGGCUCACCAAGGCAACGAUACAUAGCCGACCUGAGAGGGUGGUCGGCAAAAAUGGGAAUGGGAAAAGGCCCAGAAUCCUACGGGAGGCAGCAGUAGGGAAUCUUCGGCAAUGGACGGAAGUCUGACCGAGCAACGCCGCGGGAGUGAAGAAGGUUUUCGGAUCGGAAAGCUCUGUUGUAAGAGAAGAAAGAGUGUGAGAGUGGAAAGUUCACACUGUGACGGUAACUUACCAGAAAGGGACGGCUAACUACGUG